AUAGGAGGAAGACCCUGAUCCCUAGUGCUCAACACAAAAACGCUUCAAUAAUCCCCUGAGAUUGUUUUACCUUGCAACACUCUCUGGAAAAUUGUUGUUCCAGGAAUGUAAUGAAAAGAUCUGCAAGAGAGUACAGCCCCUGUUGACUGACUUGUCUUGGAAGUCAGCAAGGGUACAAUAGAUUUGGAUCAAACAGGUAAUAUAAC
RNAcentral lists this long non-coding RNA (206 nucleotides) under Macaca mulatta (Rhesus monkey). RNAcentral describes it as "lncRNA (ENSMMUG00000041842.2)". The record is from RNAcentral. Lineage: Eukaryota; Metazoa; Chordata; Mammalia; Primates; Cercopithecidae.